RNAcentral lists this ribosomal RNA (412 nucleotides) under uncultured bacterium. RNAcentral describes it as "bacterial SSU rRNA". It matches the Rfam family "Bacterial small subunit ribosomal RNA", at positions 355 to 765 of the family's 1533-position model. The record is from RNAcentral.
UAAGGAAUAUUGGUCAAUGGACGCAAGUCUGAACCAGCCAUGCCGCGUGAAGGAUGAAGGUCCUCUGGAUUGUAAACUUCUUUUAUCUGGGACGAAAACGGGAUUUUUAUCUCAAUUGACGGUACCAGAGGAAUAAGCACCGGCUAACUCCGUGCCAGCAGCCGCGGUAAUACGGAGGGUGCGAGCGUUAUCCGGAUUUACUGGGUUUAAAGGGUGCGUAGGUGGGCUUAUAAGUCAGUGGUGAAAUCUCCGAGCUUAACUUGGAAACUGCCGUUGAUACUAUAGGUCUUGAAUUAUCUGGAGGUAAGCGGAAUAUGUCAUGUAGCGGUGAAAUGCUUAGAUAUGACAUAGAACACCAAUUGCGAAGGCAGCUUACUACAUAUAAAUUGACGCUGAGGCACGAAAGCGUGGG